Molecule: ribosomal RNA, 617 nt
Filed under: Clostridioides difficile
Lineage: Bacteria; Bacillati; Bacillota; Clostridia; Peptostreptococcales; Peptostreptococcaceae
Description: bacterial LSU rRNA
Rfam family: Bacterial large subunit ribosomal RNA
Source: RNAcentral
GCAGCCACUCAUUCAAAGAGUGCGUAAUAGCUCACUGGUCGAGUGAUCCUGCGCCGAAGAUUUCCGGGGCUAAAACUUACUACCGAAGCUACGGCAUCAGUAAUGAUGGGUAGGGGAGCUUCCCAUACGGGUUGAAGCAUGACCGUAAGGACAUGUGGACAGUAUGGGAGUGAGAAUGUUGGCAUGAGUAGCGAGAUGUGGGUGAGAAUCCCACAGGCCGUAAACCCAAGGUUUCCAGGGGAAGGUUCGUCCGCCCUGGGUUAGUCGGGACCUAAGCUGAGGCCGAAAGGCGUAGGUGAUGGACAACAGGUGGAUAUUCCUGUACUACCGAUAACCGUUUGAGAGAAGGGAUGACACAGUAGGAUAAGCUAAGCACACUGUUGGUUAUGUGUGCCCAAGCAUUGAGGCAGUCAAAGUAGGCAAAUACGCUUUGAUAAUGCUGGGAUGUGAUGGGGAGCGAAAGUUAGUAGCGAAGUAGCUGAUUUCACACUGUCAAGAAAAGUCUCUAUCGUGGUUAAAGGUACCCGUACCGCAAACCGACACAGGUGGGUGAGGAGAGUAUCCUAAGUCCAGCGAGAGCACUGUUGUUAAGGAACGCGGCAAAAUGACCCCGUAAC